Molecule: ribosomal RNA, 466 nt
Filed under: uncultured bacterium
Lineage: Bacteria
Description: partial 16S ribosomal RNA
Rfam family: Bacterial small subunit ribosomal RNA
Source: RNAcentral
GAUGAACGCUGGCGGCGUGCUUAACACAUGCAAGUCGAACGAUGAAGCCCAGCUUGCUGGGUGGAUUAGUGGCGAACGGGUGAGUAACACGUGAGUAACCUGCCCUUGACUCUGGGAUAAGCCUGGGAAACUGGGUCUAAUACUGGAUAUGACUUCUCAUCGCAUGGUGGGGGGUGGAAAGAUUUAUUGGUCUUGGAUGGACUCGCGGCCUAUCAGCUUGUUGGUGAGGUAAUGGCUCACCAAGGCGACGACGGGUAGCCGGCCUGAGAGGGUGACCGGCCACACUGGGACUGAGACACCGCCCAGACUCCUACGGGAGGCAGCAGUGGGGAAUAUUGCACAAUGGGCGCAAGCCUGAUGCAGCGACGCCGCGUGAGGGAUGACGGCCUUCGGGUUGUAAACCUCUUUCAGUAGGGAAGAAGCGAGAGUGACGGUACCUGCAGAAGAAGCGCCGGCUAACUACGUG